GAUGAACGCUGGCGGCGUGCUUAACACAUGCAAGUCGAACGGACUUAUGAUGAAGCUUAGCGAUUUAUAAGUUAGUGGCGGACGGGUGAGUAACGCGUGGGUAACCUGCCUUAUACAGGGGGAUAACACUUAGAAAUAGGUGCUAAUACCGCAUAAGCGCACAGUAUCGCAUGAUACAGUGUGAAAAACUCCGGUGGUAUAAGAUGGACCCGCGUCUGAUUAGCUAGUUGGUGAGGUAACGGCUCACCAAGGCGACGAUCAGUAGCCGGCCUGAGAGGGUGAACGGCCACAUUGGGACUGAGACACGGCCCAAACUCCUACGGGAGGCAGCAGUGGGGAAUAUUGCACAAUGGGGGAAACCCUGAUGCAGCGACGCCGCGUGAGUGAAGAAGUAUUUCGGUAUGUAAAGCUCUAUCAGCAAGGAAGAAAAUGACGGUACUUGACUAAGAAGCCCCGGNUAACUACGUG
RNAcentral lists this ribosomal RNA (468 nucleotides) under uncultured bacterium. RNAcentral describes it as "bacterial SSU rRNA". It matches the Rfam family "Bacterial small subunit ribosomal RNA", at positions 28 to 507 of the family's 1533-position model. The record is from RNAcentral.